This 465-nucleotide ribosomal RNA is filed under the name Vreelandella stevensii. RNAcentral's name for it is "partial 16S ribosomal RNA". It matches the Rfam family "Bacterial small subunit ribosomal RNA", at positions 338 to 795 of the family's 1533-position model. The record is from RNAcentral. Lineage: Bacteria; Pseudomonadati; Pseudomonadota; Gammaproteobacteria; Oceanospirillales; Halomonadaceae.
CCUACGGGAGGCUGCAGUGGGGAAUAUUGGACAAUGGGCGAAAGCCUGAUCCAGCCAUGCCGCGUGUGUGAAGAAGGCCUUCGGGUUGUAAAGCACUUUCAGUGGGGAAGAAAGCCUUGGGGCUAAUACCCUCGAGGAAGGACAUCACCCACAGAAGAAGCACCGGCUAACUCCGUGCCAGCAGCCGCGGUAAUACGGAGGGUGCGAGCGUUAAUCGGAAUUACUGGGCGUAAAGCGCGCGUAGGCGGUCUGAUAAGCCGGUUGUGAAAGCCCCGGGCUCAACCUGGGAACGGCAUCCGGAACGGUCAGGCUAGAGUGCAGGAGAGGAAGGUAGAAUUCCCGGUGUAGCGGUGAAAUGCGUAGAGAUCGGGAGGAAUACCAGUGGCGAAGGCGGCCUUCUGGACUGACACUGACGCUGAGGUGCGAAAGCGUGGGUAGCAAACAGGAUUAGAUACCCGAGUAGUC